RNAcentral lists this small nuclear RNA (286 nucleotides) under Microtus ochrogaster (prairie vole). Its description in RNAcentral is "7SK RNA (ENSMOCG00000011161.1)". It matches the Rfam family "7SK RNA". From Rfam's summary of the family: 7SK was discovered as an abundant small nuclear RNA in the mid-70s but a possible function has only recently been suggested. Two independent studies have found that 7SK RNA binds the CDK9/cyclin T complex (known as elongation factor P-TEFb). The record is from RNAcentral. Lineage: Eukaryota; Metazoa; Chordata; Mammalia; Rodentia; Cricetidae.
GAAUGUGAGGGUGAUCUGACUAUGACAUCUAUCACGCUGUUGACUGCUAGGGUUGAUUCAGCUGGCCUGAACAGCCAGUCAGAUAUCCUCUUCCUCUUUCAACACUCCAUGUGGAUCCCACUCAAAACUUCCCAAAGAUAGAAAAAUUAAUUGUUUUCAGUGAAGGGUAUAGAAGUAGCUUUGCUCCCCCACUGGAACCUCCAAACAAAUAAAUUCUCAAGCUCCAUUCUAACUUUUCAUAAUUCAUUCAUUUAUUCCUUUCACAGGCUCUUGCUGAAGGUCCAAU